Molecule: long non-coding RNA, 423 nt
Filed under: Physcomitrium patens
Lineage: Eukaryota; Viridiplantae; Streptophyta; Bryopsida; Funariales; Funariaceae
Description: long non-coding RNA (PPAT_LNC009014)
Source: RNAcentral
UUCUGUUUAAUCUUCAAAAAAUACUAUAUGUAAGUUUAAAAUAGAAACAAUUCUACAACAAUCAAAGCGUAAUAUGUUUUUACUUGUCUUGUUUUUAAAAAAUAAAUUUAUUCUGUUAUUCAUAUAAGUUCAAAAUCAUUUAUGAUUAAUACUCAAAUAAAUAAAUAAAUACAAUUUUAUGCGUCUUUUCAAAUGCACCAAUUAAUUUGUGCAAACUCCCAGUUUCAUCUGUUUAUCCCAUAAACAUGCAAAUAGAUCAUAUAUUCUUGAAAAAAAAUUACUACUAAAUUUAUUUUUUAGAAUUUUAUGAUCAACCUCAAGAUUUUAUUGAAAUUCAAAACAUGUACUCUUAAUUUUCAUUUUUAAACUACUGAUUUUUUUUAGAUUUUUUUAAAUAAAUAAAAAAUAAUUCUGGCUUUUUUU